This 1446-nucleotide ribosomal RNA is filed under the name Klebsiella sp. TG-1. RNAcentral's name for it is "bacterial SSU rRNA". It matches the Rfam family "Bacterial small subunit ribosomal RNA". The record is from RNAcentral. Lineage: Bacteria; Pseudomonadati; Pseudomonadota; Gammaproteobacteria; Enterobacterales; Enterobacteriaceae.
GUUGCUGCCGGCAGACUACACAUGCAGUCGAGCGGUAGCACAGAGAGCUUGCUCUCGGGUGACGAGCGGCGGACGGGUGAGUAAUGUCUGGGAAACUGCCUGAUGGAGGGGGAUAACUACUGGAAACGGUAGCUAAUACCGCAUAAUGUCGCAAGACCAAAGUGGGGGACCUUCGGGCCUCAUGCCAUCAGAUGUGCCCAGAUGGGAUUAGCUAGUAGGUGGGGUAACGGCUCACCUAGGCGACGAUCCCUAGCUGGUCUGAGAGGAUGACCAGCCACACUGGAACUGAGACACGGUCCAGACUCCUACGGGAGGCAGCAGUGGGGAAUAUUGCACAAUGGGCGCAAGCCUGAUGCAGCCAUGCCGCGUGUGUGAAGAAGGCCUUCGGGUUGUAAAGCACUUUCAGCGGGGAGGAAGGCGAUAAGGUUAAUAACCUUGUCGAUUGACGUUACCCGCAGAAGAAGCACCGGCUAACUCCGUGCCAGCAGCCGCGGUAAUACGGAGGGUGCAAGCGUUAAUCGGAAUUACUGGGCGUAAAGCGCACGCAGGCGGUCUGUCAAGUCGGAUGUGAAAUCCCCGGGCUCAACCUGGGAACUGCAUUCGAAACUGGCAGGCUAGAGUCUUGUAGAGGGGGGUAGAAUUCCAGGUGUAGCGGUGAAAUGCGUAGAGAUCUGGAGGAAUACCGGUGGCGAAGGCGGCCCCCUGGACAAAGACUGACGCUCAGGUGCGAAAGCGUGGGGAGCAAACAGGAUUAGAUACCCUGGUAGUCCACGCCGUAAACGAUGUCGAUUUGGAGGUUGUGCCCUUGAGGCGUGGCUUCCGGAGCUAACGCGUUAAAUCGACCGCCUGGGGAGUACGGCCGCAAGGUUAAAACUCAAAUGAAUUGACGGGGGCCCGCACAAGCGGUGGAGCAUGUGGUUUAAUUCGAUGCAACGCGAAGAACCUUACCUGGUCUUGACAUCCACAGAACUUAGCAGAGAUGCUUUGGUGCCUUCGGGAACUGUGAGACAGGUGCUGCAUGGCUGUCGUCAGCUCGUGUUGUGAAAUGUUGGGUUAAGUCCCGCAACGAGCGCAACCCUUAUCCUUUGUUGCCAGCGGUUCGGCCGGGAACUCAAAGGAGACUGCCAGUGAUAAACUGGAGGAAGGUGGGGAUGACGUCAAGUCAUCAUGGCCCUUACGACCAGGGCUACACACGUGCUACAAUGGCAUAUACAAAGAGAAGCGACCUCGCGAGAGCAAGCGGACCUCAUAAAGUAUGUCGUAGUCCGGAUUGGAGUCUGCAACUCGACUCCAUGAAGUCGGAAUCGCUAGUAAUCGUAGAUCAGAAUGCUACGGUGAAUACGUUCCCGGGCCUUGUACACACCGCCCGUCACACCAUGGGAGUGGGUUGCAAAAGAAGUAGGUAGCUUAACCUUCGGGAGGGCGCUUACCACUUUGAUCAGUGCC